Molecule: transfer RNA, 115 nt
Filed under: Candidatus Aenigmatarchaeota archaeon
Lineage: Archaea; Nanobdellati; Candidatus Aenigmatarchaeota
Description: tRNA-Leu
Rfam family: tRNA
About the family: Transfer RNA (tRNA) molecules are approximately 80 nucleotides in length. Their secondary structure includes four short double-helical elements and three loops (D, anti-codon, and T loops). Further hydrogen bonds mediate the characteristic L-shaped molecular structure. tRNAs have two regions of fundamental functional importance: the anti-codon, which is responsible for specific mRNA codon recognition, and the 3' end, to which the tRNAs corresponding amino acid is attached (by aminoacyl-tRNA synthetases). tRNAs cope with the degeneracy of the genetic code in two manners: having more than one tRNA (with a specific anti-codon) for a particular amino acid; and 'wobble' base-pairing, i.e. permitting non-standard base-pairing at the 3rd anti-codon position.
Source: RNAcentral
GCGGGGGUACCCAAGCGGUCAAAGGGGCUAGCCUAAGGAGCUAGUGGCUUAGUACAUUUCCGGCGAAAGCCGGUUGUGUGAGACGCCUUCCUGGGUUCGAAUCCCAGCCCCCGCA